This 119-nucleotide ribosomal RNA is filed under the name Mus caroli (Ryukyu mouse). The record is from RNAcentral. Lineage: Eukaryota; Metazoa; Chordata; Mammalia; Rodentia; Muridae.
GUCUAUGGCUAUACCACCCUGAACAUGCCGCAUCUUGUGUGAUCUUGGAAGCUAAGCAAGGUUGGGCCUGGUUAGUACUUGGAUGGGAGACCACCUGGGAAUACCAGGGGCUGAAGGCU